RNAcentral lists this ribosomal RNA (384 nucleotides) under uncultured bacterium. Its description in RNAcentral is "bacterial SSU rRNA". It matches the Rfam family "Bacterial small subunit ribosomal RNA", at positions 28 to 418 of the family's 1533-position model. The record is from RNAcentral.
GACGAACGCUGGCGGCGUGCUUAACACAUGCAAGUCGAGCGGAAAGGCCCUUCGGGGUACUCGAGCGGCGAACGGGUGAGUAACACGUGAGUAACCUGCCCUGGACUUUGGGAUAACCCUCGGAAACGGGGGCUAAUACCGGAUAUGACUUGAUGUCGCAUGGUGUUGGGUGGAAAGUUUUUCGGUCUGGGAUGGGCUCGCGGCCUAUCAGCUUGUUGGUGGGGUAAUGGCCUACCAAGGCGAGGACGGGUAGCCGGCCUGAGAGGGCGACCGGCCACACUGGGACUGAGACACGGCCCAGACUCCUACGGGAGGCAGCAGUGGGGAAUAUUGCACAAUGGGCGAAGCCUGAUGCAGCGACGCCGCGUGAGGGAUGACGGCCUG